RNAcentral lists this transfer RNA (63 nucleotides) under human gut metagenome. It matches the Rfam family "tRNA", at positions 5 to 66 of the family's 71-position model. From Rfam's summary of the family: Transfer RNA (tRNA) molecules are approximately 80 nucleotides in length. The record is from RNAcentral.
CUGUGGCCAAGCGGUAAGGCUCUGGACUCUGACUCCAGUAUGCAUAGGUUCGAAUCCUAUCAG